AGCGAACGUUUGCGGCGGGCCUAACACAUGCAAGUCGAACGCACUAGCAAUAGUGAGUGGCGCACGGGUGCGUAACACGUGGGUAAUCAACCCUUCAGCCUGGGAUAACGACUCGAAAGGGUCGCUAAUACCGGAUACGGCGCGAGAGGCUUCGGCUUCUCACGAGAAAGCCACGCAAGGGGCACUGAAGGACGAGCCUGCGGCCCAUCAGCUAGUUGGUGAGGUAAGAGCUCACCAAGGCUAAGACGGGUAGCUGGUCUGAGAGGAUGAUCAGCCACACUGGAACUGAGACACGGUCCAGACUCCUACGGGAGGCAGCAGUGGGGAAUAUUGCGCAAUGGGCGAAAGCCUGACGCAGCCACGCCGCGUGAGCGAUGAAGGCCUCGGUCGUAAGACUCUGUGGGAGGAGACGAAGAAAGACCU
This 423-nucleotide ribosomal RNA is filed under the name uncultured bacterium. RNAcentral's name for it is "bacterial SSU rRNA". It matches the Rfam family "Bacterial small subunit ribosomal RNA", at positions 29 to 458 of the family's 1533-position model. The record is from RNAcentral.